This 484-nucleotide transfer-messenger RNA is filed under the name Candidatus Altimarinota bacterium. It matches the Rfam family "transfer-messenger RNA". From Rfam's summary of the family: Bacterial tmRNA, also known as 10Sa RNA or SsrA, is named for its dual tRNA and mRNA-like properties. Its role is to liberate the mRNA from a stalled ribosome. To accomplish this part of the tmRNA is used as a reading frame that ends in a translation stop signal. Lineage: Bacteria; Candidatus Altimarinota. The record is from RNAcentral.
GGGGAUAAUCUUGGUUUCUACCUGGAGAAUCGUUGGAAAUAUAUGCUAUCGAGGAGAUGUUUGUGACUUCUCUUAAUCAACACAAACAAGCAUAACUGCUAAAACAAAUACAAGAGUAGCUUCUUUAAAAGCUUACGCAACUGGUGCUGUUAAAGCAUUAAAUAAUACUUUAGCUUUUGCUAAAGUAGCGUAGUCACUCCCUCAUAGAGGGAACUGACAGUAGCCUUCUUGAUUGAUGAGCGCCGCUUGGCCUGCUACACAUUUUAUAGAAAGUUUUAAUCUUCUACGUUCUAUAAAAUUAUAAAUUAAGAUUUUUUAUAAGCUGGUUUUGAUUUAGUCUUAACUUAUAAAAUAUUAAUAGAUUAAAUUAUUAAUUAUUAUUUUUGUUUGUUCCAUAAAUAAUUAAUUAUCAGAAUAAACUAUGAUAGUAGAAUUAUAUGUUCAGCCUCUAGGGACGUCGGUUCAAAUCCGUCUAUCUCCACCA